UCUCUUUUCUCUAUUUCAGUCAGAGGUACAUUUCUCAGACUUGUUUCUCCUUAUUCCUAAAAAGAGGGGGUGGGUUAGCUGUGGGUAAAUUUGAGAUUCUGCAUGAACCAGGCUAAUCUAAGUAUUUUAUUUCUACCCACAGAUUGAGAUGACUACUACUGAGUUAUGUCACCUAAGAAAGGAAAGUCAACUUUCAAAAAUACUUUAAGACCAGGUGGAAGGAGAUAUUGAAUGGUGUCUUAGUCAGUUUGGGCUGCUAUAACAAAGGACCAUAAACUGGGUCGCCUAUAAACAAUAUAAAUUUGUUUCUCACAGUUCUAGAGGCUGGGAAGUCCAAGAUCAAGGUGCCGGCAGAGUUGGUGUCUGGUAAAAGCCACAUCCUGGUUCGCAGACUCUGCAACUGAGGUUGCAGACAAUCUAAACUGUGACUACGGCAAACACUGUUUGUUGCUUCCCAGUGUUCAUUCCCCCACAUUUUCCUUUGCUAACAAAAUCCCAGUUGUAUUCAAGUAUUAGAUGACCAUGUGCCUCAGAAACACUGGGCUCUUCCUCCUUCCAGGGAUGAAUCCUGAUUAGGCUGAUCAUGGUAUUCUAUCAAUAUUUAGGUUUAUAAAGCAAUGCAGGAAGCAGGGCUGCUAGGGGACUUCUGGAAGAGUUUUCAUCAUCCUUACAAUGGAACAUGACGAAGGGUCAUGGCUUUUCCCCUCUUCCAAUCUCAGGACAUGAUGAACUACAGCAGCCACAUUGAGGACAUGACGGGAUGAGCCUGAGAACAAGCUGAAGAUGGCAGAGCAGAAAAGUGGACAGAACCUGGGUCCUUGGUUACAUCUUUGAGCCAUUGAAUUAAUCACCUCUGGAAUCCCCUUGCUUCUAGAAUUUUAAUGAGAGCCUGAAUUGAUAAAAGCACUGUAUAUUCAAAGUCUUCAACAUCUCUACAAAACUCAGAGUUAUCCCUGACCACGACUUCGCUGUUGGAAUCAAAGUGAUGAGUGUGAAGUCACGUGUGUGGAAAUGUCACCAAAGGCCUAGUCACAGAGGGCACAAAGACUUCCGGGAACGAAAAUACUUUUGAAGGCCGGCUACAGAGGAUCAGGUGGAGAACCCCAAGGACCCCAGAAGAUGCUGGAGCCACUAGAUGAGUAGAAC
Orcinus orca (killer whale) is the source of this 1146-nucleotide long non-coding RNA. RefSeq lists it as uncharacterized. The record is from RefSeq and is a predicted model, not a curated record. The transcript has 3 exons. NCBI's taxonomy places the organism in Eukaryota, Metazoa, Chordata, Mammalia, Artiodactyla, Delphinidae.